GUGGAUUAGAUACCCUGGUAGUCCACGCCCUAAACGAUGUCUACUAGUUGUUGGGAGAGUAAAAUCUCUUAGUAACGCAGCUAACGCGUGAAGUAGACCGCCUGGGGAGUACGGUCGCAAGAUUAAAACUCAAAGGAAUUGACGGGGGCCCGCACAAGCGGUGGAUUAUGUGGAUUAAUUCGAUGCAACGCGAAAAACCUUACCUGGCCUUGACAUGCUACUAACGAAGCAGAGAUGCAUUAGGUGCCCGAAAGGGAAAGUAGACACAGGUGCUGCAUGGCCGUCGCCAACU
Molecule: ribosomal RNA, 292 nt
Filed under: uncultured bacterium
Lineage: Bacteria
Description: partial 16S ribosomal RNA
Rfam family: Bacterial small subunit ribosomal RNA
Source: RNAcentral